RNAcentral lists this ribosomal RNA (515 nucleotides) under uncultured bacterium. RNAcentral's name for it is "partial 16S ribosomal RNA". It matches the Rfam family "Bacterial small subunit ribosomal RNA", at positions 28 to 523 of the family's 1533-position model. The record is from RNAcentral.
GAUGAACGCUGGCGGCGUGCCUAAUACAUGCAAGUCGAGCGAAUGGAUUAAGAGCUUGCUCUUAUGAAGUUAGCGGCGGACGGGUGAGUAACACGUGAGUAACCUGCCCAUAAGACUGGGAUAACUACGGGAAAGCGGGGCUAAUACCGGCUAACAUUUUGAACCGCAUGGUUCGAAAUUGAAAGGCGGCUUCGGCUGUCACUUAUGGAUGGACCCGCGUAGCAUUAGCUAGUUGGUGAGGUAACGGCUAAGCAAGGGAACGAUGCGUAGCCGACCUGAGAGGGUGAUCGGCCACACUGGGACAGAGACACGGCCCAGACUCCUGCGGGAGGCAGCAGUAGGGAAUCUUCCGCAAUGGACGAAAGUCUGACGGAGCAACGCCGCGUGAGUGAUGAAGGCUGUCGGGUCGUAAAACUCUGUUGUUAGGGAAGAACAAGUGCUAGUUGAAUAAGCUGGCACCUUGACGGUACCUAACCAGAAAGCCACGGCUAACUACGUGCCAGCCGCCGCAGUAA